GUUUACGGCCAUACCACCCUGAACACGCCCGAUCUCAUCUAAUCUCAGAAGCUAAGCAGGGUCAGGCCUUGUUAGUACUUGGAAGGGAGAAAUGUAUUCAACAGAAAAGGUUCACAAUGAUCA
RNAcentral lists this ribosomal RNA (123 nucleotides) under Erinaceus europaeus (western European hedgehog). Lineage: Eukaryota; Metazoa; Chordata; Mammalia; Eulipotyphla; Erinaceidae. The record is from RNAcentral.